AGGCUCAUCCAUUCUUUAGACACAUUAACUGGGAAGAACUUCUGGCUGGAAAGGUGGAGCCCCCCCUUUAAACCUCUGUUGCAAUCUGAAGAGGAUGUAAGUCAGUUUGAUUCCGAGUCUACACAUCAGACACCUGUCGACAGCCCAGAUGACUCAACUCUCAGUGAAAGUGCCAAUCAGGUCUUUCCGGUUCAUUGCUCACAAGCUCAGCCUUCCAGAAAACACUAGGAGCACAAUGCAGCCAAGUUCUUUGUCACUUUAUGACAAGCAUCACCUUUCCUCCAGUUUCCAAUAACAUGUUCUUCAUUGCCAUCUGAGACUUCAUCUGAAUGAUUUUUCCCUUCCAUAUUUUUAUUUUUUUAAGAGACUAAGUCUCCCUAUGUUGGCCAGGUUGGUUGUGAAGUCUCAUCUUCAACCGAUCCUCCUGUCUUGGCCUCCCAAAGUGCUAAGAUUCCAGGCAUGAGACACCAGGCUCGACCCCCUCCAUAUGCUACCGACAUUCUGUCCGGCUCUCCUCUUCUGAAACCUCACCAGAGUCACCCUUAACCAAGAGUCACAGGGAGAAGACGGCCACCCACACAGCAAGAGACAGGCCUGGAACAGAGCCUUCCUGCACCGCCUCAGAGGGACCCACCCUGCUGACACCUUGAUGGUGGACUCAUGGCCUCCAGGAUUGGGAGACAGUAACAUUCUGUUGUUGAGGGUGCCCAGUCUGUGGUCCUGUAAAACAGCCCUAGGAAACUAACACAGCCUGUUAGCCCACAGAUAGUGGAGAGAUGGAAUGAAAUAAUAAUAGAAAUAUAUGUGAAAUAAUAAUAGAAAUAAAGCACACAAUAACUGUAAUGGGUUUGAAUCAUCUCCGCAUCAUCGCUUCCCCUUCUCCCGGGUCCAUGGAGGAGUUGUCUUCAAGAAACCUGGUCUCUGGUGCCAAAAAGUUUGGGGACCGCUGGUGUAAAUGUUUCUAAAAAUAGUUAAGCAACAUAAGGUUUACCUGCUACAAAUAAUGCAGAUUUAAAUGCUAAUAAAAAUGGGUGCAAAUGAAAACACUCUUUCUAUGGUCCAGGGAAUCUUAACCAUUCUCUGAGAAAGACUCGCAGCUUGGAACUGCAGCUGCCUUCCCACAUCCUGUCCACUGUAAAGCCCUGCAACACACACACAUGCACGCACACGCACACGCACA
Non-coding RNA from Macaca mulatta (Rhesus monkey), 1180 nucleotides. The record is from RefSeq and is a predicted model, not a curated record. NCBI's taxonomy places the organism in Eukaryota, Metazoa, Chordata, Mammalia, Primates, Cercopithecidae.